Long non-coding RNA from Folsomia candida, 691 nucleotides. RefSeq lists it as uncharacterized. The record is from RefSeq and is a predicted model, not a curated record. NCBI's taxonomy places the organism in Eukaryota, Metazoa, Arthropoda, Collembola, Entomobryomorpha, Isotomidae. The transcript has 2 exons.
AGACUUGAUGAAACAGCAAUAUUUGCUUUGCAAAGGGAACAACCUUACCAUUUAUUUACCGAGUCAGUCAGUAGAACUACGCAAUGCCAUUUCAUGACCACGACAGUCAGUCAGCGGUACAGCUUGGCGUGCGCCACACCCUAAAUACUAAAUAGCUAUGUCGCCUUAUAUUGUUGGGAGGAGGAGGAGUGAACCCAGGUUUAUAAGCUGCGCAGUAUUAUUGAUACUCGUGGUCAAAAUAAAUUUCUGCAGUGGAUUUCUUUUUGUUAUAAAUCAGCAAUGCGUGGCCUCUACAAUAUGGACCCCAGUUCCCUCCACGGUCAACAAUUACUGUUUGCAAUGCGUCUGUACGACCACGAAUGUGUCCUUUUGCAAACCAAUCCUAGUGCAAUUUAGUACAAUUUGUUCCGGAGCCGUGGCCGUGGCCACUGUUCCGCCCCUCAUCAACCCUCGAGCACCUGUCCCUGGGGUGCCAGCCGCAGUAGCGCCUGGAGUCGUUGCACCCCUACCUGUGGCACCUGCGCCAGGAUAAUAUAUAUUCCCAUUUCGAAUAUUAUGCUCUUUAACAAAAUAUGUUUCAAUGCAAAAGUGAACUCUGGCUUCUGUAAUUGCUUAAAAUGUCGAGACUAAUAAAAUCUAGCCGUCACUGCAGCCGACAGCCGUGACCCCUAAUUAAUAUAACUAUAAUUCA